GGUUAAGCGACUAAGCGUACACGGUGGAUGCCCUGGCAGUCAGAGGCGAUGAAGGGCGUGCUAAUCUGCGAUAAGCGCCGGUAAGGUGAUAUGAACCGUUAUAACCGGCGAUACCCGAAUGGGGAAACCCAGUGUGAUUCGUCACACUAUCAUUAACUGAAUCCAUAGGUUAAUGAGGCGAACCGGGGGAACUGAAACAUCUAAGUACCCCGAGGAAAAGAAAUCAACCGAGAUUCCCCCAGUAGCGGCGAGCGAACGGGGAGGAGCCCAGAGCCUGAAUCAGCAUGUGUGUUAGUGGAAGCGUCUGGAAAGGCGCGCGAUACAGGGUGACAGCCCCGUACACAAAAGCGCAUGUGCUGUGAGCUCGAUGAGUAGGGCGGGACACGUGGUAUCCUGUCUGAAUAUGGGGGGACCAUCCUCCAAGGCUAAAUACUCCUGACUGACCGAUAGUGAACCAGUACCGUGAGGGAAAGGCGAAAAGAACCCCGGCGAGGGGAGUGAAAAAGAACCUGAAACCGUGUACGUACAAGCAGUGGGAGCCCCACCACUAAGCCAGUGGUGAACUCCACAUACGCAUCCUUUGCUGAGGAUACGGUUAACGGAGCGAAAGCGACGUUCAACCUCAAAAGAAGCAGAGGGGGCUUAGUGGUGGGGUGACUGCGUACCUUUUGUAUAAUGGGUCAGCGACUUAUAUUCUGUAGCAAGGUUAACCGUAUAGGGGAGCCGGAGGGAAACCGAGUCUUAACCGGGCGUUAAGUUGCAGGGUAUAGACCCGAAACCCGGUGAUCUAGCCAUGGGCAGGUUGAAGGUUGGGUAACACUAACUGGAGGACCGAACCGACUAAUGUUGAAAAAUUAGCGGAUGACCUGUGGCUGGGGGUGAAAGGCCAAUCAAACCGGGAGAUAGCUGGUUCUCCCCGAAAGCUAUUUAGGUAGCGCCUCGUGAAUUCAUCUCCGGGGGUAGAGCACUGUUUCGGCUAGGGGGCCAUCCCGGCUUACCAACCCGAUGCAAACUGCGAAUACCGGAGAAUGUUAUCACGGGAGACACACGGCGGGUGCUAACGUCCGUCGUGAAGAGGGAAACAACCCAGACCGCCAGCUAAGGUCCCAAAGUCAUGGUUAAGUGGGAAACGAUGUGGGAAGGCCCAGACAGCCAGGAUGUUGGCUUAGAAGCAGCCAUCAUUUAAAGAAAGCGUAAUAGCUCACUGGUCGAGUCGGCCUGCGCGGAAGAUGUAACGGGGCUAAACCAUGCACCGAAGCUGCGGCAGCGAACGUAUCACUUAAAGCGAUUCAGCGGAUGACGAUUGACGGAGCGAAGCGACGUCAAAGCGUAUACAAAGUCGAGUCGGUUUAAGGAUACGUUCGUUGGGUAGGGGAGCGUUCUGUAAGCCUGCGAAGGUGGCCUGUGAGGGUUGCUGGAGGUAUCAGAAGUGCGAAUGCUGACAUAAGUAACGAUAAAGCGGGUGAAAAGCCCGCUCGCCGGAAGACCAAGGGUUCCUGUCCAACGUUAAUCGGGGCAGGGUGAGUCGACCCCUAAGGCGAGGCCGAAAGGCGUAGUCGAUGGGAAACGGGUUAAUAUUCCCGUACUUGGUGUUACUGCGAAGGGGGGACGGAGAAGGCUAUGUUGGCCGGGCGACGGUUGUCCCGGUUUAAGCGUGUAGGUGUGUGUUCCAGGUAAAUCCGGUUCACUUUAACACUGAGGCGUGACGACGAGGCACUACGGUGCUGAAGCAACAAAUGCCCUGCUUCCAGGAAAAGCCUCUAAGCAUCAGGUAACAUCAAAUCGUACCCCAAACCGACACAGGUGGUCAGGUAGAGAAUACCAAGGCGCUUGAGAGAACUCGGGUGAAGGAACUAGGCAAAAUGGUGCCGUAACUUCGGGAGAAGGCACGCUGACAUGUAGGUGAAGUGAUUUACUCAUGGAGCUGAAGUCAGUCGAAGAUACCAGCUGGCUGCAACUGUUUAUUAAAAACACAGCACUGUGCAAACACGAAAGUGGACGUAUACGGUGUGACGCCUGCCCGGUGCCGGAAGGUUAAUUGAUGGGGUCAGCGCAAGCGAAGCUCCUGAUCGAAGCCCCGGUAAACGGCGGCCGUAACUAUAACGGUCCUAAGGUAGCGAAAUUCCUUGUCGGGUAAGUUCCGACCUGCACGAAUGGCGUAAUGAUGGCCAGGCUGUCUCCACCCGAGACUCAGUGAAAUUGAACUCGCUGUGAAGAUGCAGUGUACCCGCGGCAAGACGGAAAGACCCCGUGAACCUUUACUAUAGCUUGACACUGAACAUUGAGCCUUGAUGUGUAGGAUAGGUGGGAGGCUUUGAAGUGUGGACGCCAGUCUGCAUGGAGCCGACCUUGAAAUACCACCCUUUAAUGUUUGAUGUUCUAACGUGGACCCGUAAUCCGGGUUGCGGACAGUGUCUGGUGGGUAGUUUGACUGGGGCGGUCUCCUCCUAAAGAGUAACGGAGGAGCACGAAGGUUGGCUAAUCCUGGUCGGACAUCAGGAGGUUAGUGCAAUGGCAUAAGCCAGCUUGACUGCGAGCGUGACGGCGCGAGCAGGUGCGAAAGCAGGUCAUAGUGAUCCGGUGGUUCUGAAUGGAAGGGCCAUCGCUCAACGGAUAAAAGGUACUCCGGGGAUAACAGGCUGAUACCGCCCAAGAGUUCAUAUCGACGGCGGUGUUUGGCACCUCGAUGUCGGCUCAUCACAUCCUGGGGCUGAAGUAGGUCCCAAGGGUAUGGCUGUUCGCCAUUUAAAGUGGUACGCGAGCUGGGUUUAGAACGUCGUGAGACAGUUCGGUCCCUAUCUGCCGUGGGCGCUGGAGAACUGAGGGGGGCUGCUCCUAGUACGAGAGGACCGGAGUGGACGCAUCACUGGUGUUCGGGUUGUCAUGCCAAUGGCACUGCCCGGUAGCUAAAUGCGGAAGAGAUAAGUGCUGAAAGCAUCUAAGCACGAAACUUGCCCCGAGAUGAGUUCUCCCUGAGACUUAGAGUCUCCUGAAGGAACGUUGAAGACGACGACGUUGAUAGGCCGGGUGUGUAAGCGCAGCGAUGCGUUGAGCUAACCGGUACUAAUGAACCGUGAGGCUUAACCUU
Molecule: ribosomal RNA, 3088 nt
Filed under: Salmonella enterica
Lineage: Bacteria; Pseudomonadati; Pseudomonadota; Gammaproteobacteria; Enterobacterales; Enterobacteriaceae
Description: 23S ribosomal RNA
Rfam family: Bacterial large subunit ribosomal RNA
Source: RNAcentral